Molecule: long non-coding RNA, 489 nt
Organism: Chinchilla lanigera (long-tailed chinchilla)
Lineage: Eukaryota; Metazoa; Chordata; Mammalia; Rodentia; Chinchillidae
Exons: 2
Source: RefSeq, a predicted model, not a curated record
GUCGGCCGAGUAGACCGAAGAAGUCGCUUCCGAGCGCAUCGAGGCGGGGGAUCGUCGAGAUAGUGAUGCGCACGCUUGUCACGUAUCUGCAACCCAUCGACGACAGGUUGACAAGCUUGGAGCUAAAUAUAAGAAACACAAGGAAGAGGCAGAAGUUUUCUAUGUUAGAACCUCUGGUCUCUGGUCACACUCUGGAUGCCAAGUCCCUGAGGAAUAAAAAGCACCAAAAAGCUCCCAGGAAGGCAGCGAUUUGAGGCCUUUAACACUAGCACCCGGAAAUUAAAUGAGAUUGGGAGACGGAAUUCCAGAUUACCCUUCCAGUGUUUCCAAGUUACCCUCUGAAGACUCUUCCGUCUCUAUUUGUGCUCUUCUGGGAAGCAGAAUAGUUGUGUAGGGAUGGACUGACGCUACAUGAGUUGAAUCGGUCUUAAAUGUGGUGUUACUAUUUCUAGUUGGGUCUUAUUGGACAAGUUAUUUAAUUUUAUGCUC